GCGGCAUGCCUUACACAUGCAAGUCGAACGGCAGCGCGGACUUCGGUCUGGCGGCGAGUGGCGAACGGGUGAGUAAUGCAUCGGAACGUACCUUUCAGUGGGGGAUAACGUAGCGAAAGUUACGCUAAUACCGCAUAUUCUGUGAGCAGGAAAGCAGGGGAUCGCAAGACCUUGCGCUGAUGGAGCGGCCGAUGUCAGAUUAGCUAGUUGGUGGGGUAAAGGCUCACCAAGGCGACGAUCUGUAGCGGGUCUUAGAGGAUGAUCCGCCACACUGGAACUGAGACACGGUCCAGACUCCUACGGGAGGCAGCAGUGGGGAAUUUUGGACAAUGGGCGCAAGCCUGAUCCAGCCAUGCCGCGUGAGUGAAGAAGGCCUUCGGGUUGUAAAGCUCUUUCGGCCGGGAAAAAAUCGCUUGGGUUAAUACCCUGAGUGGAUGAUGGUACCGGAAUAAGAAGCACCGGCUAACUACGUGCCAGCAGCCGCGGUAAUACGUAGGGUGCGAGCGUUAAUCGGAAUUACUGGGCGUAAAGCGUGCGCAGGCGGUUUUGUAAGACAGGCGUGAAAUCCCCGGGCUCAACCUGGGAACUGCGUUUGUGACUGCAAGGCUAGAGUAUGGCAGAGGGGGGUGGAAUUCCACGUGUAGCAGUGAAAUGCGUAGAGAUGUGGAGGAACACCAAUGGCGAAGGCAGCCCCCUGGGCCAAUACUGACGCUCAUGCACGAAAGCGUGGGGAGCAAACAGGAUUAGAUACCCUGGUAGUCCACGCCCUAAACGAUGUCAACUAGGUGUUGGGUGGGUAAAACCAUUUGGUACCGUAGCUAACGCGUGAAGUUGACCGCCUGGGGAGUACGGCCGCAAGGUUAAAACUCAAAGGAAUUGACGGGGACCCGCACAAGCGGUGGAUGAUGUGGAUUAAUUCGAUGCAACGCGAAAAACCUUACCUACCCUUGACAUGCCAGGAACUUGCCAGAGAUGGCUUGGUGCCCGAAAGGGAGCCUGGGCACAGGUGCUGCAUGGCUGUCGUCAGCUCGUGUCGUGAGAUGUUGGGUUAAGUCCCGCAACGAGCGCAACCCUUGUCGUUAAUUGCCAUCAUUUAGUUGGGCACUUUAACGAGACUGCCGGUGACAAACCGGAGGAAGGUGGGGAUGACGUCAAGUCCUCAUGGCCCUUAUGGGUAGGGCUUCACACGUCAUACAAUGGUCGGUACAAAGGGUUGCCAAGCCGCGAGGCGGAGCCAAUCCCAGAAAGCCGAUCGCAGUCCGGAUCGCAGGCUGCAACUCGCCUGCGUGAAGUCGGAAUCGCUAGUAAUCGUGGAUCAGCAUGUCACGGUGAAUACGUUCCCGGGUCUUGUACAC
RNAcentral lists this ribosomal RNA (1355 nucleotides) under metagenome. Its description in RNAcentral is "bacterial SSU rRNA". It matches the Rfam family "Bacterial small subunit ribosomal RNA", at positions 39 to 1388 of the family's 1533-position model. The record is from RNAcentral.